UUAAAGGGGCAGCGCCACUGCGCUCGCCCAGCGCGAGCUCGGGUGGAGGGCGCGGGACCUGCCCGCGGGUCAGGAAGGCGAGGGCGUGUGUCCAAGCAACGCGCGGGCGCAGCCCUCCGCACAAUGUACACCAUUACUAAGGGGCCCAGCAAGUUGGUUGCGCAGCGCCGCACAGGGCCCACGCAGCAGCAAGUGGAAAGCAGGCUCGGCGAGCUCUUGAAAUGCCGGCAGCCCACGCCGCCCACUCCUCCACCCACGCGGGCGCAGCCACCAGGCCCCUGGCCCCUGUCAAGUGCCCCUCUUGGCCGAGGAGGAAGUCCGAGCGGCGGUGGGGCACCUGAGCCCAGGAUGGCGAGCAGGCAAGUGCCUGGCGGAGUGGCACGUGCAGCCCAGGACUCCUGGCUCCCACCUCCUGCUCCCAGGGCCGAGGCUCGUGUUCAAUCGAGUGAAUGGCCGGCGGCCCCCCACCACAUCCCCAUCCAUCGAGGCAACCCAGGAGACCUACACACUGGCUCACGAGGAGAACGUCCGUUUUGUGUCCGAAGCCUGGCAGCAAGUGGAGCAGCAACUGGGUGGUGGCCCAGCCGGUGACAGCAGUCCGAGGCCUGUGCAGUAUGUGGAGAGGACCCCCAACCCCAGGCUGCAGAACUUCGUGCCUAUCGACCUGGACGAAUGGUGGGCACAGCAGUUUCUGGCUAGAAUCACUAACUGCUCCUAGCUGCUGCCUUGGAAGGAACACUGCCUGCACAGGCCUGGCUUUGCUCUGUGGCAGGCCCUCUGCAAGGAGAGGACCAUGGCACCCUGUAUACCCACUGCUGCGGGUCGUGUUUCCCCCGGGCCGGGCUGGAUGCCGGCCACACCUGAAGUGCCAGCUUUGGACUUUUGUACCUUCUGACCCCUUGGCCCAGCUGUCCCAGGCUGCCUGGUGCCAGGGGCUGAACCUGUCUGACCUCAAUCCUGCUCACUGUGCCUGGGGACCAGCCCCUGGGGCUGGCACGGUGGAGCUCCAGACUAAUAAAGUCAAGAAACUGUC
Phyllostomus discolor (pale spear-nosed bat) is the source of this 1033-nucleotide RNA transcript. It is a transcript of the gene named MAPK regulated corepressor interacting protein 2, with no coding region annotated. The transcript is spliced from 6 exons. NCBI's taxonomy places the organism in Eukaryota, Metazoa, Chordata, Mammalia, Chiroptera, Phyllostomidae. The record is from RefSeq and is a predicted model, not a curated record.